This 118-nucleotide ribosomal RNA is filed under the name Pasteurella bettyae. The record is from RNAcentral. Lineage: Bacteria; Pseudomonadati; Pseudomonadota; Gammaproteobacteria; Pasteurellales; Pasteurellaceae.
UUUUGGCAGCAAUAGUGCAAUAGCUCCACCUGAUCCCAUGCCGAACUCAGAAGUGAAAUGUUGUUACGCCGAUGGUAGUGUGGGGAUUCCCCAUGUGAGAGUAGGUUACUGCCAAAUA